GCAGCAAGCCGUCUUAUCGCCGCGAAUAUUUUCGGGGAGGAAAGUCCGGGCAACGCAGAGCAUCCUACUUCCUAACGGGAAGGGUUCCGGGCAACCGGAAUACAGCCAGUGCCACAGAAAAUUACCGCCAGCCUUGUGCUGGUAAGGGUGAAAAGGUGCGGUAAGAGCGCACCAGCGGCUGGGUGACCAGUCCGGCUGGGUAAACCUUAGGAGUUGAAAGACCAAAUAGGCUGGCAGCGCUUCGCUUCGGCGGAGCUAAGGGCUGCUCGUCCGAUGCCAGUGGGUAGGUCGAUGGAGCCUGCGCGCGAGCGCAGGCCUAGAUAAAUGAUAAGAACGCAGCGCCUUUCGGGGCGCUGCGACAGAACCCGGCUUACAGGCUUGCUGUUAAU
This 389-nucleotide RNase P RNA is filed under the name Pontibacter rufus. Its description in RNAcentral is "Pontibacter sp. 172403-2 Bacterial RNase P class A". It matches the Rfam family "Bacterial RNase P class A". From Rfam's summary of the family: Ribonuclease P (RNase P) is a ubiquitous endoribonuclease, found in archaea, bacteria and eukarya as well as chloroplasts and mitochondria. Its best characterised activity is the generation of mature 5'-ends of tRNAs by cleaving the 5'-leader elements of precursor-tRNAs. Lineage: Bacteria; Pseudomonadati; Bacteroidota; Cytophagia; Cytophagales; Hymenobacteraceae. The record is from Rfam by way of RNAcentral.